Non-coding RNA from Labrus bergylta (ballan wrasse), 466 nucleotides. Lineage: Eukaryota; Metazoa; Chordata; Actinopteri; Labriformes; Labridae. The record is from the annotation of a RefSeq genome assembly.
CUUCUCCUCACACUCCAACCCUGCUCACCUCUCAGCUGGACAGUAAGGGACGUUUACAGCACACACUGACAACAUGCUGGGGACCCUGUGCACUCUCAUCACUGCUCUAACAUGUGUGAGUGCUGUGACGCUGGUGACACAGAAGCCUCCUGUUGUGACUCUGAGGAGAGGAGAGACAGCCACCAUGGACUGUAACCUGGGGACUGUGACUGGUAGUUCUGCUCGUUGGUACAAACAGAUUCCAGGAGGAGUUCCUCAGUAUAUUCUGAAGAACCAUCAUUCAUAUAGCUCUCCAGAGUAUGGCUCUGGUUUCUCCUCUCCAAAGUUCACAUCCACUCAUCAGUCACAAUCAGAUUAUCGUUUGAUCAUCAGCACUGUGGAGGAGAGAGACUCAGCAGUUUAUUACUGUAGCACAUGGGACAGCUCUGUCAGUGAGCACGUAUCACAGUGAUUUACACCGUGACAA